Molecule: long non-coding RNA, 3295 nt
Filed under: Citrus x clementina
Lineage: Eukaryota; Viridiplantae; Streptophyta; Magnoliopsida; Sapindales; Rutaceae
Description: Citrus clementina (C. clementina) long non-coding RNA (CCLE_LNC002160)
Source: RNAcentral
CAACUUCAUCCGCCGGACUCGGAAUGCCGCGAGACUUUGCGAGGGGCCUCCGUGUGCCAAAAAUAGGCCGCGGGCAAAGCCGCGCCAAAAAAUAACUGCCCGAAGGCCGGGGCGCCAAGUUCGUCCGGCGGAGAAAGGCCACAAAAACGUUCGUCCGCCGGACUCGGAAUGCCGCGAGACUUUGCGACGGGCCUUCGUGUGCCAAAAAUAGGCCGUGGGAUGUUUAAAAGGUUCGUGGUUAAAAAUUUUAUGUUAUCUAGUGAUAAAAUUUUGUAGUGCAUUUUAUAGAUAGGUAGCAGCAGCAAGUUCCGGGGCGCCAAGUUCGUCCAGCGGAAAAAGUCCACAAAAACGGGUGGGCUAUAGCCUUGGGGGGUGAUGCUGGCCAACUUCGUCCGCCGGACUCGGAAUGCCGCGAGACUUUACGAGGGGCCUCCGUGUGCCAAAAAUAGGCCGCGGGCAAAGCCGUGCCCAAAAAUAACCGCCCGACGGCCGGGGCGCCAAGUUCUCCCAGCGGAAAAAGGCCACAAAAACUGCUGGGCUAUAGCCUUGGGGGGUGGGGCUGGCCCACUUCGUCCGCUGGACUCGGAAUGCCGCGAGACUUUGAGAGGGGCCUCCGUGUGCCAAAAAUAGGCCGCGGGCAAAGCCGCGCAAAAAAAUAACCGCCUGAAGGCCGGGGCGCCAAGUUCGUCCGGCGGAAAAAGGCCACAAAAACGGGUGGGCUAUAGCCUUGGGGGGUGGGGAUGGCCAACUUCGUCCGCCGGACUCGGAAUGCCGCGAGACUUUGCGAGGGGCCUCCGUGUGCCAAAAAUAGGCCGCGGGCAAAGCCGCGCCACAAAAUAACUGCCCGAAGCUGGGGCGCCAAGUUCGUCCGGCGGAGAAAGGCCACAAAAACGUUCGUCCGCCGGACUCGGAAUGCCGCGAGACUUUGCGAGGGGCCUUCGUGUGCCAAAAAUAGGCCGUGGGAUGUUUAAAAGGUUCGUGGUUAAAAAUUUUAUGUUAUCUAGUGAUAAAAUUUUGUAGUGCAUUUUAUAGAUAGGUAGCAGCAGCAAGUUCCGGGGCGCCAAGUUCGUCCAGCGGAAAAAGGCCACAAAACGGGUGGGCUAUAGCCUUGGGGGUGGGUCUGGCCCACUUCGNNNNNNNNNNNNNNNNNNNNNNNNNNNNNNNNNNNNNNNNNNNNNNNNNNNNNNNNNNNNNNNNNNNNNNNNNNNNNNNNNNNNNNNNNNNNNNNNNNNNNNNNNNNNNNNUUCGUCCAGCGGAAAAAGGCCACAAAAACGGAUGGGCUAUAGCCUUGGGGGGUGGGGUUGCCCAACUUCGUCCGCCGGACUUGGAAUGCCGUGAGACUUUGCGAGGGGCCUCCGUGUGCCAAAAAUAGGCCGCGGGCAAAGCCGCGCCCAAAAUUAACCGCCCGAAGGCCGGGGCGCCAAGUUCUCCCAGCGGAAAAAGGCCACAAAAACGGGUGGGCUAUAGCCUUGGGGGGUGGGGCUGGCCAGCUUCGUCCGCCGCACUCGGAAUGCCGCGAGACUUUGCGAGGGGCCUCCGUGUACCAAAAAUAGGCCGCGGGCAAAGCCGCACCCAAAAUUAACUGCCCAAAGGCCGGGGCGCCAAGUUCGUCCAGCGGAAAAAGGCCACAAAAACUGGUGGGCUAUAGCCUUGGGGGGUGGGGCUGGCCAACUUCGUCCGCCGGACUCGGAAUGCCGCGAGACUUUGCGAGGGGCCUCCGGGUGCCAAAAAUAUGCCGCGGGCAAAGCCGCGCCCAAAAAUAACCGCCCGACGGCUGGGGUGCCAAGUUCGUCCAGCGGAAAAAGGCCACAAAAACGGGUGGGCUAUAGCCUUGGGGGGUGGGGUUGCCCAACUUCGUCCGCCGGACUUGGAAUGCCGUGAGACUUUGCGAGGGGCCUCCGUGUGCCAAAAAUAGGCCGCGGGCAAAGCCGCGCCCAAAAUUAACCGCCCGAAGGCCGGGGCGCCAAGUUCUCCCAGCGGAAAAAGGCCACAAAAACGGGUGGGCUAUAGCCUUGGGGGGUGGGGCUGGCCAACUUCGUCCGCCGGACUCGGAAUGCCGCGAGACUUUGCGAGGGGCCUCCGUGUGCCAAAAAUAGGCCGCGGGCAAAGCCGCACCGAAAAAUAACCACCCGACGGCUGGGGUGCCAAGUUCGUCCAGCGGAAAAAGGCCACAAAAACGGGUGGGCUAUAGCCUUGGGGGAUGGGGUUGCCCAACUUCGUCCGCCGGACUCGGAAUGCCGCGAGACUUUUCGAGGGGCCUCCGUGUGCCAAAAAUAGGCCGCGGGUAAAGCCGCGCCCAAAAUUAACUGCCCGAAGGCCGGAGCGCCAAGUUCUCCCAGCGGAAAAAGGCCACAAAAACGGGUGGGCUAUAGCAUGGGGGGGUGAUGCUGGCCACUUCGUCGCUGGAUUCGGAAAUGCCGCGAGACUUUGCGAGGGGCUCGUGUGCCCAAAAAUAGGCCGCGGGCAAAGCCGCGCCCAAAAAUAACCGCCCGACGGCCGGGGCGCCAAGUUCGUCCAGCGGAAAAAGGCCACAAAAACGGGUGGGCUAUAGCCUUGGGGGGUGGGGCUGGCCAACUUCGUCCGCCGGACUCGGAAUGCCGCGAGACUUUGCGAGGGGCCUCCGUGUGCCAAAAAUAGGCCGUGGGAUGUUUUAAAGGUUCGUGGUUCAAAAUUUUAUGUUAUCUAGUGAUAAAAUUUUUUAGUGCAUUUUAUAGAUAGGUAGCAGCAGCAAGUUCAAGGGCGCCAAGUUCGUCCAGCGGAAAAAGGCCACAAAAACGGGUGGGCUAUAGCCUUGGGGGGUGAUGCUGGCCAACUUCCUCCGCCGGACUCGGAAUGCCGCGAGACUUUGCGAGGGGCCUCCGUGUGCGAAAAAUAGGCCGCGGGCAAAGCCGCGCCCAAAAAUAACCGCCCGAAGGCCGGGGUGCCAAGUUCGUCCAGCGGAAAAAGGCCACAAAAUCGGGCGGGCUAUAUCCUUGGGGGCUGGGGCUGGCCAACUUCGUCUGCCGGACUCGGAAUGCCGCGAGACUUUGCGAGGGGCCUCCGUGUGCGAAAAAUAGGCCGGGGGCAAAGCCGCGCCCAAAAAUAACCGCCUGAAGGCCGGGGCGCCAAGUUCGUCCAGCGGAAAAAGGCCACAAAAACGGGUGGGCUAUAGCCUUGGGGGGUGGGGCUGGCCAACUUCGUCCGUCGGACUCGGAAUUGCGCGAGACUUUGCGAGGGGCCUCCGUGUGCCAAAAAUAGGCCGCGCGCAAAGCCGCGCCCAAAAAUAACCGCCCGAAGGCCGGGGCGCCAAGUUCGN